Molecule: small nucleolar RNA, 303 nt
Filed under: Exophiala oligosperma
Lineage: Eukaryota; Fungi; Ascomycota; Eurotiomycetes; Chaetothyriales; Herpotrichiellaceae
Description: Fungal small nucleolar RNA U3
Rfam family: Fungal small nucleolar RNA U3
About the family: Small nucleolar RNAs (snoRNAs) are involved in the processing and modification of rRNA in the nucleolus. There are two main classes of snoRNAs: the box C/D class, and the box H/ACA class. U3 snoRNA is a member of the box C/D class.
Source: Rfam by way of RNAcentral
UUCCACAGACUUCAUAGAAUCAUUUCUAUAGUAAACGUCCUCUUCUGAGCUCUUCACACGAGCCACAGAAUCCUCAACCUGGCGGACGAAACAAAGCAACUUCAUCCUAGAGUGAAACCGUUUUUACCCUCGACGUUUUUGUUUUCUUCCUUUUUCAUCUUAAGCCAUGUCUCUUCGGAAACUGGUUGUUUUUUGAACUGGUUCGAAACAGAAAGAGGGUGGUGAUGAUCUUUGACCUGCGUUUUUUGGGUUCUGGCUUCGUGCCGCCAUGCGCAGCUGGUGAAGUUGUUGAUUCUGACAGGC